GAUGAACGCUGGCGGCGUGCUUAACACAUGCAAGUCGAACGAUGAAGCCCAGCUUGCUGGGUGGAUUAGUGGCGAACGGGUGAGUAACACGUGAGUAACCUGCCCUUUACUCUGGGAUAAGCCUGGGAAACUGGGUCUAAUACUGGAUAUGACUUCUCAUCGCAUGGUGGGGGGUGGAAAGAUUUAUUGGUCUUGGAUGGACUCGCGGCCUAUCAGCUUGUUGGUGAGGUAAUGGCUCACCAAGGCGACGACGGGUAGCCGGCCUGAGAGGGUGACCGGCCACACUGGGACUGAGACACGGCCCAGACUCCUACGGGAGGCAGCAGUGGGGAAUAUUGCACAAUGGGCGCAAGCCUGAUGCGGCGACGCCGCGUGAGGGAUGACGGCCUUCGGGUUGUAAACCUCUUUCAGUAGGGAAGAAGCGAGAGUGACGGUACCUGCAGAAGAAGCGCCGGCUAACUACGUG
This 466-nucleotide ribosomal RNA is filed under the name uncultured bacterium. Its description in RNAcentral is "partial 16S ribosomal RNA". It matches the Rfam family "Bacterial small subunit ribosomal RNA", at positions 28 to 507 of the family's 1533-position model. The record is from RNAcentral.